Molecule: long non-coding RNA, 1938 nt
Organism: Octopus sinensis (East Asian common octopus)
Lineage: Eukaryota; Metazoa; Mollusca; Cephalopoda; Octopoda; Octopodidae
Exons: 2
Source: RefSeq, a predicted model, not a curated record
UUUUACAUAUCACUCAUCCGCCUACAAACUGAGGGUCUUGUCUCUAUUGAAAGCCUCAUCGUUUAAGUUGGUCUGAAACGAAGGGACAUAACUCAACACCACCCAGCGGCAACUUUUAAGUACCUUAGUUUCAAUUAGACCGUUUUUUUUCUUCUUUAAUACAAUGUUUGUAAGAAGUGGAAAUUAUGCAAUAAGUGGAAAUAAUUCAGCUGACUCUAAAACCCAACAAGUCUUGGCCUUAUGUCAAGGUAAAGAAAUCAUUCUUUCUCUCCCAUUUUUGUGUCUUCACGCUAGUUUUCUAGUUACCUUCAAAUAUUGAAACUAAAUAGGUUAAACUAGUCAAGUACAAUCAAGUGCAGACCGAUGGUAAACCACUUCAGCCAUUGCCAGGUCAUCUUUCUGGACAUGAAUUGAAGGAGAUUUUGCUGUUGCGUUACAAAAAUUUAUAUACCUUAAUUUGAACGGUUUACCUGGGAAUGUUGUAUUCAAUUAGCUUUUGGGAUAUGGUAAACCUUGUAGAGUAAGUUCCUAGGGAGAUGAUCUGUUACAAUUGUUAUCUCUUGACACUGCUAAUGCCCCCAUCCUCCUUCACGCAAGAAAACUUGAACAUCACAUCACACUUUCAUCCUGCCCUUUGAUCUUGUAACUAAGUAAUAUAUUGAUGUUGUUUACAGAUGUAGGACAUUGCAAGUGAAAUGCUUUUUUGUAAGUGGUUUGCUGCCACACUACCCUGCCAUGGUCCACUGUACUGUAUCUGACCUUUUUGAAGAAGGGGUCUACGUUAAAACAAAACAAAAAGUACCACUGAUGUUAUUAAAACUGGAGUUGAACCAAUCAACUCUGCUCACCCUUGAAAUUUUUAAUGGCUCUUGUGUCAUUUAUUUUAAGGAAUCAAUUAAAUUAGAAUCACAUUUGGUGUUUGUUUCUGGUAAUUUAAAUUAAUCAAAACAAAUUGGGUAGGGGGUGGGAGAACUUCAUGUAAAAAUAACAACAAACAGAAAUCUGUACGUUGUAUAGUGCAAUGUCUGUACGAAUGAUAACCAAUGAUGUAUGACAUAUCAUUUUUUGAGGGGCUGGAUUAUAAUUUCUGAUGAAAAGAGGAAAAAGAAAUUUAAAUAGUUUCCUGAUCUCAUUUGAUACUGGAAGAUACCCAUUAAAACCCAGUUGAAAUAUCAACAGGAUUUGACUGAUUAAUCAGUCUUCCAACACAUUAAACAAUUAUUAAAUAGAAAAGACAAAACACAAUAUUAGAUUAAAUUGAGAAAAUAUUAUAACUUCAGCUUAAAAAAAGAAAAUUAAUCCCCAAUUCUGAUGAUCGUUUUUGAAAUAAUAGUAUCAAUUCAGAAAAUCAAGACUUAAAUAAGAUAGGGUUGUGGGGCCCAUUUAGGUUAAAAGAUGGUUCUACAAAAAAAUUAAAUGAAAUACUAUGAAAGCCUUGAUUUUAGUUUAGUUGAAUCAGAAAGUUGGUAGUGAAGUGUAAAAUAUUAAACCAUAUAUAUAUACACACACACAAACAGUUUCAUAAUCUAAGUUAAUCCUUUACUUCUUCAAAAAAAGAAAAAAAAAAAAUCAAUAUUUUUCAUUUGAGCUGAGUUGAAAUACUUGUUUUGUUUUGUGUCUUUUCUCAAAUGAAAUUGCAAUUUUGUGUACAGGUAGACAUGUACACACACACACACACAUAAUGUUCUUUUGCCUCCCUUUCCAAAACGUCAUUCAUUUUUUUGGUGGUAAAAAUUGUGUACCAGUUAAGAAAAAAAAAGCUGAAGUUGCCUCUUUUCUGCUGGAUGUACAUAAGUUUUUAUAUUGAUGUAAAAGAUAUUAAAAAAAAAUUGGUUUACCAUUUUUUUUUUUUAAAUUCAGUUUAGUAAAUGCUGAGUAACUUAUUUAAUUGUACACAAUUUGGGACACACACGUCAAAUAAAAUUCUUGUAAAAAUUC